RNAcentral lists this transfer RNA (88 nucleotides) under bacterium. RNAcentral describes it as "tRNA-Ser". It matches the Rfam family "tRNA". Rfam says of the family: Transfer RNA (tRNA) molecules are approximately 80 nucleotides in length. Their secondary structure includes four short double-helical elements and three loops (D, anti-codon, and T loops). The record is from RNAcentral. RNAcentral also lists the same sequence under 5 other names.
GGAGAGAUGGCCGAGCGGUCGAAGGCGCACGCUUGGAAAGCGUGUGUAGGGCAACCUACCGUGGGUUCGAAUCCCACUCUCUCCGCCA